Molecule: small RNA, 1951 nt
Filed under: Pan troglodytes (chimpanzee)
Lineage: Eukaryota; Metazoa; Chordata; Mammalia; Primates; Hominidae
Description: retained intron
Source: RNAcentral
GUGUGCGAGUGUGUGUGCGCCGGGCGGGCGGGCACUGCAGCUUCUUCCUCCGUGGAGCGGAGAGCGAGAGAGAGCUACAGCGAACGAGAGAGCGGCGAAGGCGGGUAGAGGGGCGCGGGCGAGGCGGCGCAGCCAUCCCCGGACCAGGGGCCGCGCCGCCACCAUGCUAAACAACCUGACGGACUGCGAGGACGGCGAUGGGGGAGCCAACCCGGGUGAUGGCAACCCCAAGGAAAGCAGUCCCUUCAUCAACAGCACUGACACAGAGAAGGGAAAGGAGUAUGACGGCAAGAACAUGGCCUUGUUUGAGGUGGGCUGCUAGGGCUGUUGGGCCCCCACCUACAAUUCAUUAUCCUGAUUCAUCAGCUGCUCUCUCCCUCCCUCCCUAGGGAGCAAUACCCUCAUCUCCACCCCUCCCUUGAGUCUACCUUCUUCCUUGAGCCUCCCCAUCCCUCCUUUUCCCUCCUGGGAUUUACUCCCUCUGCUCCCUGCCCUCCUCUCCUCAUCCUACCAUUCUUACCCCGUUCUCCUCACCUGUUCCUCCUCCUUUCCCAUCUCAUCCCAACCUGAAUAGUUUCGUGCUCCUUGUCCCCAUCUCUUCCUCUGCCCCUCGCCACCCAGCUCACUCCACUUGCUCCCCCAGCCUCCUAGCACUGACACCCUCCCUCCACAGGAGGAGAUGGACACCAGCCCUAUGGUGUCCUCCUUGCUCAGUGGCCUGGCCAACUACACCAACCUGCCCCAGGGAAGUAGGGAGCAUGAAGAGGCAGAAAACAAUGAGGGUGGAAAAAAGAAGCCGGUGCAGGCCCCACGCAUGGGCACCUUCAUGGGCGUGUACCUGCCGUGCCUGCAGAACAUCUUUGGCGUCAUCCUCUUCCUGCGGCUCACCUGGGUGGUGGGCAUUGCAGGCAUCAUGGAGUCCUUCUGCAUGGUGUUCAUCUGCUGCUCCUGUACGAUGCUCACGGCCAUCUCCAUGAGUGCAAUUGCAACGAAUGGUGUUGUGCCUGCUGGUGGCUCCUACUACAUGAUUUCCAGGUCUCUGGGCCCAGAGUUUGGGGGCGCCGUGGGCCUCUGCUUCUACCUGGGCACUACCUUUGCAGGAGCCAUGUACAUCCUGGGCACCAUCGAAAUCCUGCUGGCUUACCUCUUCCCAGCCAUGGCCAUCUUCAAGGCAGAAGAUGCCAGUGGGGAGGCAGCAGCCAUGCUGAACAACAUGCGUGUUUACGGCACCUGUGUGCUCACCUGCAUGGCCACUGUGGUGUUUGUGGGUGUCAAGUAUGUCAACAAGUUUGCCCUUGUCUUCCUGGGUUGUGUCAUCCUCUCCAUCCUGGCCAUCUAUGCUGGGGUCAUCAAGUCUGCCUUCGACCCACCCAACUUCCCGUGAGUGCUGCUGCUCUGAGCCCAAGGAAUCGUCCUCCUACCUCCCUGGCCCUGUUUCAGAGUCUCUGCCAAACUCCCCCUCCCUGCCCCUCAGAAUCUCAGAGUGGUGUGGGUUGGGAGUAGCUUCCCUUGGGAGGGAAAAUCUCUCUUAGUUUGGGGGCAAUCUCUUCAGAGUGAGGUAACUUUUCUGGAGGAGGGAACAAUUUACCUUGUAAGAGUCAACUUCUUGCUGGUAGGGUGGACUUAGGAAGAAUUAAGUGGGAAUGAGUUCCAAAGCAAUGAAUGCUGUCUGUGGUAGGGAAACCUUUCCUGGGUGGGGACAACCUCCUGGAAUGGGACAAUCUCCUAGUGUUGGACAACUCCUCCAGGAUGGGAAAAGACACAGAAGUCUAGAGGGUCCAGGGACUCAGAUCCAAGUCCACUCCAUCCACUGCUCAGAGGUGGAGGGCGGCCCCCGAGACCGCUGUCCACGGUGCUGAAACACAGCAUUGCACUAAUGCGGUGCUUCUCCACCUUGGCGGCUUAUUAGAAUCACUUGGGGAGCUUAAGAAAAAAAAAAAAAAAAGCCAAU